Molecule: ribosomal RNA, 521 nt
Filed under: Fusarium sp. Fs 4
Lineage: Eukaryota; Fungi; Ascomycota; Sordariomycetes; Hypocreales; Nectriaceae
Description: eukaryotic LSU rRNA
Rfam family: 5.8S ribosomal RNA (bases 154-307)
Source: RNAcentral
UACCGAGUUUACAACUCCCAAACCCCUGUGAACAUACCUUAAUGUUGCCUCGGCGGAUCAGCCCGCGCCCCGUAAAACGGGACGGCCCGCCAGAGGACCCAAACUCUAAUGUUUCUUAUUGUAACUUCUGAGUAAAACAAACAAAUAAAUCAAAACUUUCAACAACGGAUCUCUUGGUUCUGGCAUCGAUGAAGAACGCAGCAAAAUGCGAUAAGUAAUGUGAAUUGCAGAAUUCAGUGAAUCAUCGAAUCUUUGAACGCACAUUGCGCCCGCUGGUAUUCCGGCGGGCAUGCCUGUUCGAGCGUCAUUUCAACCCUCAAGCCCCCGGGUUUGGUGUUGGGGAUCGGCUCUGCCCUUCUGGGCGGUGCCGCCCCCGAAAUACAUUGGCGGUCUCGCUGCAGCCUCCAUUGCGUAGUAGCUAACACCUCGCAACUGGAACGCGGCGCGGCCAUGCCGUAAAACCCCAACUUCUGAAUGUUGACCUCGGAUCAGGUAGGAAUACCCGCUGAACUUAAGCAUAU